Long non-coding RNA from Trichosurus vulpecula (common brushtail), 1608 nucleotides. RefSeq lists it as uncharacterized. NCBI's taxonomy places the organism in Eukaryota, Metazoa, Chordata, Mammalia, Diprotodontia, Phalangeridae. The record is from RefSeq and is a predicted model, not a curated record. The transcript is spliced from 3 exons.
AUUCCUUUGGCUUCAUGGUCAAGUUCAGCUCCAGCCCUCCCCUGCAUUGUCCUACAUGGUGCUGCUCAGCAACAUCAGAACUGCAAUGAAUUUCACCAGGAGCUAGCAGAAAAUGACUCAUUGAAAGUCGACUGCAGUGGCUAACACUGUUCAGAAUGUGCUAGUGUUCUGAGCUUCCGAGAUUAACGCCUCUGUGUACAGCUCCAUCUUAUUUAUGAACCGACCACCUCCUAAGGCUGCUCAUGCAGAGAGGAAACCUCAGCCUUUAUGAUCAGAAGUAUUCCAUAUUUUAAGGAGAUACACAAAUAAUGUCUAUGGGCAAAUAAGAGACUAAUGACAAUGAAGGAAAAAACUUGGAUAUCAGGGCAGAAUCCCGGUCGUACUCCACAUGUCUGGGAGCCCUGUAGCCAGCGGAAUCACCGAGCCAACUGCAAAACCAGCUUCCUGACAUCAAUUGCGCAUUUUGGGCAUUUUCCACAUCUGAUUGAGUUUGAAGGCACAAUUUUUUUUAAACCUGCUUUAGUUUUAAGAGGCCAAUUGGUAUUGGAAUAUGAAAUGUAAUUAAAAAGAGCAUUCAUAUAGAUGAAUAAAGGGGAAUAUCUUUAAUUAAGAGCCUUCAGGGUAUCACCAUGAUGAUGCUGGUAGAAAAAUUAUCUUUUCACCUGGGAAGGGUCAGAAGGUAGAUGUGGAUACACCUCAAUUUAUAGAAUAGAUGUGUUUCUAAACACUCUGGGGGGAAAAAGCUAUUUUAAAUGCGUUAAGGAAAUUUGCCAUUUGAGGAAAGCUUAGGAUAUACUUUUGUAAAGAGGAUUUAUUGAAUGAAUCAUAAUCUGUGUUUGUUGUUUAUGUUCAGAUUUGCCUACAGCUCCUUUUCUUAAAGUGAGGCACACCCGUCUUAAAAACUCCUUCUCAUUUUCUCUCCCUGGGAUGUUUCCUAACCAACGGUAAAGAUGACCCACACUGUGAACUGUUCUAGGCAUUCAUCAUAUCUGGUUAUUGUAUCAGAACCAUAAGCUCCAGUGUUGACCAAACUUGACCUCAAACUGGCUCCCAAGACAUACAAAAGAGAAUCAAACAAAUUUGGCUUACACCCUGUGUCUAAGAAGGCUGGCCAAAGCAGGAUGACUGUAUCCUCAGAAACAUCUGGAUGUUUGCCUUUCCACUGACAAAAGAUGUAGACGACUGAGUGAAUGUGACACUUUUCCUUUGGGUGCUCUUAUGUCAUGUAAAACACAGACUUAGUUGACAAUCAAGAGGUCGACUACUUAAUGUCUUCUUAUGAAAAUGUAUGCAAUGGUUUGGAGAACCAGAGGCUCGGGCUCCUAACCCUGAGCAGGUGCUGAUAAGUCAUUCAAACUCUCUGUGCCUCAGUUUUUUGCUUUGUGAAAAAAAGACAGGAAACAGCCUACCUUAUAGGCUUGUUUAGAGGAACAAUGAGGAAUAUGAAUGAUGAAGGACAUUUUGUAAUAGUUAAAUUCCUUGUCAAUAUAACUCCAAGACUAGCUCUUUUAAAUUUUGGAUGUUAGUAGAAGUAGUCUAAAAAAACCCCAUAAAAUAAGCAAAACAAAAAAAGCCCAAAACCCAAACACCUGAGUGGUGUUACCUUUG